CUCCUGGAAACGGGUGGUAAUGCCGGAUGCUCCAGUUGACCGCAUGGUCCUCUGGGAAAGCUUUUGCGGUAUGGGAUGGGGUCGCGUCCUAUCAGCUUGAUGGCGGGGUAACGGCCCACCAUGGCUUCGACGGGUAGCCGGCCUGAGAGGGCGACCGGCCACAUUGGGACUGAGAUACGGCCCAGACUCCUACGGGAGGCAGCAGUGGGGAAUAUUGCACAAUGGGCGCAAGCCUGAUGCAGCGACGCCGCGUGCGGGAUGACGGCCUUCGGGUUGUAAACCGCUUUUGACUGGGAGCAAGCCCUUCGGGGUGAGUGUACCUUUCGAAUAAGCACCGGCUAACUACGUGCCAGCAGCCGCGGUAAUACGUAGGGUGCAAGCGUUAUCCGGAAUUAUUGGGCGUAAAGGGCUCGUAGGCGGUUCGUCGCGUCCGGUGUGAAAGUCCAUCGCUUAACGGUGGAUCCGCGCCGGGUACGGGCGGGCUUGAGUGCGGUAGGGGAGACUGGAAUUCCCGGUGUAACGGUGGAAUGUGUAGAUAUCGGAAAAAAAACA
Molecule: ribosomal RNA, 552 nt
Filed under: Bifidobacterium adolescentis
Lineage: Bacteria; Bacillati; Actinomycetota; Actinomycetes; Bifidobacteriales; Bifidobacteriaceae
Description: partial 16S ribosomal RNA
Rfam family: Bacterial small subunit ribosomal RNA
Source: RNAcentral